GUUAGACUUUGCCAUUCAUCCCA
RNAcentral lists this non-coding RNA (23 nucleotides) under Arabidopsis thaliana (thale cress). Lineage: Eukaryota; Viridiplantae; Streptophyta; Magnoliopsida; Brassicales; Brassicaceae. The record is from RNAcentral.